AAGUCGUAACAAGGUUUCCGUAGGCGAACCUGCGGAAGGAUCAUUAGUGAAAUUAGGGUGGCUACUUUGUAGUGCCCAACCUCCACUUCUAACACUGUGCACUUAUUGGCAAAUUUCGAAUUAGUAACAACUUUAGUGUUGUAAUUGAUUUGUUAUUUGUGGCUUUAUUUUUAAACUCCUAAGCUAUAGAAUGUCAACCAAUUUAAAAAAAAAG
Molecule: unclassified non-coding RNA, 214 nt
Filed under: plant metagenome
Description: partial contains small subunit ribosomal RNA and internal transcribed spacer 1
Rfam family: Eukaryotic small subunit ribosomal RNA (bases 1-46)
Source: RNAcentral